CAGUCGCCGCGGGAAUACAGAGGGUGCGAGCGUUAAUCGGAUUUACUGGGCGUAAAGCGUGCGUAGGCGGCUUUUUAAGUCGGAUGUGAAAUCCCUGAGCUUAACUUAGGAAUUGCAUUCGAUACUGGGAAGCUAGAGUAUGGGAGAGGAUGGUAGAAUUCCAGGUGUAGCGGUGAAAUGCGUAGAGAUCUGGAGGAAUACCGAUGGCGAAGGCAGCCAUCUGGCCUAAUACUGACGCUGAGGUACGAAAGCAUGGGGAGCAAACAGGAUUAGAUACCCGCGUAGUCCCUGUCCUUAUACA
This 301-nucleotide ribosomal RNA is filed under the name uncultured bacterium. RNAcentral's name for it is "partial 16S ribosomal RNA". It matches the Rfam family "Bacterial small subunit ribosomal RNA", at positions 509 to 809 of the family's 1533-position model. The record is from RNAcentral.